UUUUUUUUUUUUUUUUUUUUUUUUUUUUUAAGUUUCAUAAUCCGAC
Molecule: non-coding RNA, 46 nt
Filed under: Heterosigma akashiwo
Lineage: Eukaryota; Raphidophyceae; Chattonellales; Chattonellaceae
Source: RNAcentral